This is a long non-coding RNA of Bos taurus (domestic cattle), 1240 nucleotides long. The record is from Ensembl. NCBI's taxonomy places the organism in Eukaryota, Metazoa, Chordata, Mammalia, Artiodactyla, Bovidae.
CCUCCCCCGUUUAGGCGAUAAGGCGCGAGGCGUCCACCGCGCGUGCGCGUAGGGGACCUUCGUUAAUAACUUCUUUCUUGUUCGGGCGUCUGACGAGAAACAAUAAUAGCUUUCUCCCUCUUUCCUGACUUCAGGAGUGUGUGACUUCAGCUGGGACACCUAAACUCGGCCGACCCAACCAAGCCGAAGCUGCACCCUCCCGCGAGGGAGGUGAUACGUAUUAGAGACGGUCAGGCGUUUAUGGUGAUGUGUAAGGCCUUUGAGUCGUUAUCACCACAUCUCGAAGUGGCGAAAGUGAAAAGAACUCGGAAAUAGCAAAAGCACCCCAAAUGGGGUAGAGGAAAAUGCUUUCACCGACGUUUUUAAAAUCAUCCUCACAGAACCUUGUGAAGUGUACCUCUGGAUUAUUCUCAUUUUACAGACUGGGAGGGAUAUCCUGAGAUGGUACUUGCUCAAGAAAAUCACACACAGGCAGGGCUCAAAUUCGAGUCCCUGGCUUCCCGUUCAGUUUUCUCUAAAACGAACUUAGGAUUUAUGUCAACUCUUCGGGGUUAUCACUACUGGAUACCGGGUACUUGCAACCUCAAAUAAAGCAGCACAGAAACACAGCACAGGAAGAGCUGGCAGGCAGCUGAGUUUUCUCUGAAAAGAUACCUGGACCAGAAAGUGUUGGUUCUACCCUAUCUGCCAGAGACUCACCUAAAUCCAAUUACGAAUCUUAAUUCUCUGACCCUGAUUGAACCCCUGCCCUGGCAGUGAAAGCUGUGAGACCUAACCACUGGACCACCAGGGAUUUCCUGGUUUUCUCUUUAGAAGAAGCAAUCUGGCUGACCUGUUGAAGACAGACUAUCAGCGAGCCAAAGCAGAGGCAGAACCCAGUUUUUGGCUGCACCUUGUAGCAUACAGGAUCCUAGUUCUCCCACCAGGCAUCAAACCCACGCCUCCUGCAGUGGAGUAGAGUCCCAACCACUGGACCACCAGGGAAGUCCCAGUGUUCAAUAUUUCUUAAGGAUAUUUUCUUUGCUUUCAUGUGUUUCUCCCUCAAGGAUCAUGCAUUCCCUAAUUAUAUUUGAAGAUGGGAGAGGCAAGUUGAUAAAGGAAAACUGUCAUCAUUCCUACCACCUCACCUCAACAUAUUCAGACUAUCUCAAUGGGACACUUUCUAAGGCCAUUGUUACUUUUAACAGAAAUGUGAAAAAGAUAGGGAAAGACAAAAGCACUUUGGUGGGUUAAUCAUUAC